RNAcentral lists this ribosomal RNA (465 nucleotides) under Vreelandella stevensii. RNAcentral's name for it is "partial 16S ribosomal RNA". It matches the Rfam family "Bacterial small subunit ribosomal RNA", at positions 338 to 795 of the family's 1533-position model. Lineage: Bacteria; Pseudomonadati; Pseudomonadota; Gammaproteobacteria; Oceanospirillales; Halomonadaceae. The record is from RNAcentral.
CCUACGGGGGGCUGCAGUGGGGAAUAUUGGACAAUGGGGGCAACCCUGAUCCAGCCAUGCCGCGUGUGUGAAGAAGGCCCUCGGGUUGUAAAGCACUUUCAGUGAGGAAGAACGCCUGGUGGUUAAUACCCAUCAGGAAAGACAUCACUCACAGAAGAAGCACCGGCUAACUCCGUGCCAGCAGCCGCGGUAAUACGGAGGGUGCGAGCGUUAAUCGGAAUUACUGGGCGUAAAGCGCGCGUAGGUGGCUUGAUAAGCCGGUUGUGAAAGCCCCGGGCUCAACCUGGGAACGGCAUCCGGAACUGUCAAGCUAGAGUGCAGGAGAGGUAGGUAGAAUUCCCGGUGUAGCGGUGAAAUGCGUAGAGAUCGGGAGGAAUACCAGUGGCGAAGGCGGCCUUCUGGACUGACACUGACACUGAGGUGCGAAAGCGUGGGUAGCAAACAGGAUUAGAUACCCCUGUAGUC